AUGCAUGUCUCCCCUCAAAAGUGUACUCCCGUCCUUUCCAAAUUAUAUCCAUGCUCCAUUGUAAAAAUAGAAAUAUCUAUAGGUGGUAAGUACUAUGACGUUUGUUAUAACUGGUUGCAAUCGUUGUGGAUGGAGUUACUACACUGGUUGCAAUCUCCCUCACCUGGUGUCGGCGCCAUCGACUGCAUAUGGCUUGAGGCAGUCGUUGCGCCAGUUGACUUUACUGAGGCAUCGGAUGGAGUUACCGUUGAUGUCAGUCUUGAGGACCCCUCACCUCGUGUCGGCGCCAUCGACCUCAUAUGGCUUGAGGCAGUCGUUGCGUUAGUGAGGCUCUUGAAUCCAUGGACGGAACCACCAUUGAUGUAA
This 366-nucleotide ribosomal RNA is filed under the name Triticum aestivum (bread wheat). RNAcentral's name for it is "partial small subunit ribosomal RNA". The record is from RNAcentral. Lineage: Eukaryota; Viridiplantae; Streptophyta; Magnoliopsida; Poales; Poaceae.